Molecule: ribosomal RNA, 254 nt
Filed under: uncultured bacterium
Lineage: Bacteria
Description: partial 16S ribosomal RNA
Rfam family: Bacterial small subunit ribosomal RNA
Source: RNAcentral
GACAUAGGUGGCGAACGUUAUCCGGAAUUAUUGGGCGUAAAGGAUGCGUAGAUGGUAGAAUAAGUUACUGGUCGAUGCCAAACUCGAUUUGACGGAAGCUGGUAAUACUGUUCUGCUCGAGGACAGGAGAGGUUGAUGGAAUUCUGUGUGGAGCGGUGAAAUGCGUUGAUCUACAGAGGAACACCAAAAAAGGCGAAGGCAGUCAACUAUUCUGUUCCUGACAUUGAGGCAUGAAGGCGUGGGGAGCAAACCGG